AUGCAGGAGAUGGUGGCCGCACACGGGGCCGGCGGCUGGGGCUGGGGCUGGCUGGAGGAGAUGCUGGGGUGGUACCUGCGCGCCAAUGGCAAGGACACGCACGACACCAUCGUGACGGCCUUCGUCAACGUCAUCGUCUCUGUCGCCGACCCCGGCCGCGGCUCCUCCUGCUCGUCCCAGAUCUCGUCCUGCGCGUCCGUGGACGGGGAUCAGGAAAAGAUAAGGGAUGAGAGGCACGCGUGUGAGCAGGUGGAACAAUGCAAGCGCCUCAGUGACCCGUCAGUCUCCAACAAGGGUUUUGAACUGAAUGCUCAUCAGAUUACCCAGGUUUGUAAAUGUGACACAAGUUUAUCAUUUCUCAUUGUAUGGAGUGAACCGAGACAUCAACUAGCUGGACGUGGAAGUGUUGUUCCUGAAGGUAGAUGUUUGAACUAUGAAUCUGUUUUGCAGGAGAAGUAUGAGGUUGUGCUUGACAAGAUCUCCAGGCUGGAGGAGAUGGCUUCUCUGUUCAUUUAUAUUCUCCUUGAAGCACAAACGUAUUUUGCUAAAAAAAAGGGCAACCUGGUGCAUGUAGCUCCCGCUUGCGCAGGGUCCAGGGAAGGGUCCGACCACUUUGGGUCUAUAACGUUGGGACCGGCAUCCUCGCGCCAAGGCGUGGUACCGAUCUACGCGUCGAGCGCUGGCGUCGCCACCGCCGGAGCUCCGCCGAGCGUCGGCCUCGCGCGCAGCCUCUUCUUGCCGCCGCGGAUGACUACAGCGCCGGCGCCGGGUGGCGUCGCGCUGGCGCCAUCCCGUGCCGCCGCCGCACCGUCGAAGAAGGUACCCAAUGCGGCGCGGGCGAAGAAGGCCAAAACAUCCGCGAAGAAGAACAAGGCGGCGGACGGCUCCGGCAUGGCGAGGGGAAAAAAGCUUGCAGGGCGUUUGACGGCCGCGGCGGCUACCGAAGCGCCGGCGAGCUCACUCGUUGAGCCGGCCGCCGACGCGCACCACGUGUUCGACGAAAUGCCCCCAAGUCUCAACGAUGAUGCAUACAUGUCCACUAUGGGUGUUGGGUCCAACAAUUCGCAUUGGUCUCAAACCAAUGACAUCCAUUUCGAAGACCAUGAGUUUGAGGUGGACGAGGAGGGUGAGGGAAUUGUCGAGGCGCCGAGAGGAAGAGCGGGCAAUUACUCCACCACCGACGACAAGUUACUAUGCUCCACUUAUUUGCAUGUGUCGAAGGAUCCAUCCAUUGGAGGUGAUCAAAGUAGAGACGCGUAUUGGGGGCGAAUGACAGAACACUUUAAUGCUCACAACAAGAGUGGAAUUUACCACUCCGAGAGAUCACUUCAGUCCCGAUGGUCGACAAUCAACUCGGAUUGUCAAAAGUGGGCGGCCGCGCAAAAGUCGGUGGACAAGAUUAACCCAAGUGGCACAAAUGAAGAUGAUCGAUACAACAUUGCACAAAACUUGUUCAACCAAGAGACAAGGACAACCAAGAAGGGGAAGAUCAAGAAAGGCAGGAUCUUUACCUUGCCUCAUUGCUAUGAAGUGUUAAAGGAUGAUGAGAAAUGGAAGAAGCGUGAUGAUUUGGAGGAUUUGCAUUUGAGCAACAAACGGAAGCAAGCAAUUGAGAUGAAUGAUGAUGAUGAGGAGGAUGAUGCAUCAAGUGAUGACGGCAAGAGAAGCCCCACACCCAACUCGGUUUCAUACUCGAAGCCAAAACGACCGGAUGGGUGCAAGAAAGACAAAACCGAAAAGAAGAAGAAGAAAGGAGAUGAUGAGCUUAAAAAUGCUAUGGAAGCUAUUGUGAAGGCAAGGGUCGAAGCGAAUGAGGUGAGGAAAAUGACAAGGAACCAAGAUGCCGUGGCCGAGGAGAGGAGGUUGGCGGUCGAGGAGAGAAGGGUGGCGGCCGAGGAGAGAAAGGCGACUUUGGAGGAGAGGAAAAGCCUUGGUUCGUGCAAUGGGUGGCGAUGGCCUCGGCGCGGCAUGGGUGGCUCCGGCGCCAUGGGAGGCGGUGGCCUCGGCGCCAUGGGAGGCAUGGGUGGCCUCGGCGCCAUGGGAGGCGGUGGCCUCGGCGCCAUGGGAGGCAUUGGUGGCUUUGGAGGCAUGGGAGGCAUGGGUGCACCUCCGGCCGCCAUGGGAGGCAUGGGUGGCUUUGGAGCACCCUCCGACGCUAUGGCCGCCAUGGGAGGCAUGGGUGCACCUCCGGCCGCCAUGGGAGGCAUGGGUGGCUUUGGAGCACCCUCCGACGCUAUGGCCGCCAUGGGAGGCAUGAGUUUUGCUUCUCUCAUGGGAGGCAUGGGUGCACCUCCGGCCACCAUGGGUGCACCUCCGGCCGCCAUGGCUUCUCACACACAUUUCCAUGAAGAUGCCGUUGAAGAUCUUGCCAACACUGUCGGAGCUUCACAUGAUGCGGUGCGUGAUGUGGUGCGUGAUGAGGAUAGGGAGGAAGGUUCAUCUUCGGAGGCGGAAGAGUCGUCUUCGGAAGAUGAGGACGAAGACGAAGAAGAAGAAGAUGAAGAUGAAGCUUGA
RNAcentral lists this ribosomal RNA (2514 nucleotides) under Triticum aestivum (bread wheat). RNAcentral describes it as "partial small subunit ribosomal RNA". Lineage: Eukaryota; Viridiplantae; Streptophyta; Magnoliopsida; Poales; Poaceae. The record is from RNAcentral.